This is a non-coding RNA of Microcebus murinus (gray mouse lemur), 3253 nucleotides long. Lineage: Eukaryota; Metazoa; Chordata; Mammalia; Primates; Cheirogaleidae. The record is from RefSeq and is a predicted model, not a curated record.
ACAAUAACAGGGAGGGAAGCUCUGCAUGGGCCCAACAGCAUGGGCUCCCAUUCACCAAUGCUGAUCUAGCUACUGCUGCUGCUGAACGUCCAGCCUGCCAACCUGUCCAACCUGAGCUCCUGACACAGCACUAUUCUUCAAAACCAACCAGCCACUGUGACACUCUCUACUCUGAAAGGGGACAGCAUUCAUCCUGAUUGGAAUUUACAUAAUUCCAGAAUAAAAAGGAAUGUCCUAAUUGUGAAAUCAGAAAUCCAUUUUGAAUUCUUCAUAAAAAUGAGGAUGCAGCUGUGUCCUUCUGGUAACAGUGCUGCCAGCACCUUCCAAAGAUGGAUGCUCAACCUGAUGACCCAUUUGUGACAAAGAGAAAUACAGCAGCUGCGCGUCUUAGAAUGCUCACGCCAGCAUGGAAACAGAGACGAGAACUGACAUAGCUGGAAUCUAAGCCAGGCUUCAAUCAGUGCCGCAGCAGACACGUGGAGAAGAAAUGAUGGUCUCCUCCUGGUCCAAAAUGGCUGAUGAAACUCAGCUGUCACAUCUAUGUUCGAGGCAAGUGGAGUAAAGGAUAUCCUUCUAAUGCCCCAGCUUACAUCUCAUUGGCUGAAACAUAGUCAUGUGGCCAUGUGAGGCAGAAAUGGAGGCUGGGUAAUAGUCUUUUAGCUUGGCCCUAAUAUACUCUGUUAUAAAUCAGGGCUCUGUGACUAAGAAAGAAGGGUAUAAUGGGCAUUAGACAGCAUAUAGAAGUCUCUGCCUCAGCUAUGAAAUAACUACUAUCCUUAUUUUAAAGAUGAGAAAUGAUUCUAGAGAGCUUAAUAAGGUCUCACAGGUGGAAUGUAGCAGUGCCCAUAUUUCAGCCCCAGCCUGUCCGACUCCAGAGUUCAUGGGCGUUUCUCUAUAGCAAGUCGAGGGCUGGGGAGGUAACGGAGAGUCCACUAUGUAGAGAUGAUGGUUGAAACAUGAGAGAAGAUGGAUGAGAUUUCCCAGGAAGAACAUAGAAAUAAAAAACAGAGGGGCUCGGGAGAGAAAUAAAGAACCCAAAGGCACUGGGGAAGGCCCAGAGUUAAAGGUGAAAGAUGAAUAGCCACUGGGGGGAAAUAAGAGGAAAGGGUUGCAGAGGAAGGAAGGAAGCCAGGGAACCAAGGCCCAGAGGAGCCAAGGAAGGAGCAGGCAGAGGAGGCAGUUUCCUGACUGAGCAAUGUUGGCCUUGGAGUUGGGGAGCAUAGGUUGGGAUCUCAGCUCUGUCACUUUCUGAUGACAUGACCUUGGGUAGCUGUUCCAUGGCUUGAACUUCAUCGUACUCAUUUCCUGGUAAACAGAAAACAUGCUGAGGUCAUUAGUGGAGAACAUCAGGGCAGUUUAUUUUUGAAUAUGGGUACAGGUAAUAUUGACACGGGUGUUCCGCAGGUUAUACUCCCUAAGUUUAGAAACGCUGCUUGGUCUAGUCCUGCUGUUUUUAAUAGUUUCCACUACCUUGGAUGUGGCCUGGGAAUGGGAGUUGUAGUUUAUGGUGCAUGUCUUAAUUCCGGAUCACUAUUUCUACCUCUAUUUACAAAACAAGUGUGGAAUAGCCAAAGGCAUGGAGAGGUCAGGCCAUUUCCUCCUUUAAUCCACAGCGGGGCAGGGGAGCUCUGAUCCAGCAGAACACACCCACACCCAGAAUGGGUCCCUGACACUGGCUGACUUCAGCCAUCCACCGCCUCCCUGCACGCCUCUCUCCUUGGGAGCCUCCGCCUGUGGACUUGACUUGUGGGUCCCUUUCCAUUCCUUAGGAGUAGGUGUUGUUAUUGCACUGGCCCUCUCUGUGAUAUUGUGCAGCACUCUGCACAUUUAUAGCUUGCAUAAAUAUUGGAUAAUAAUAAAUAACUACAAGGGAGGAAGAAUAUUACAGGCUAGGGAGAGUGAAAGAUGCUGAACUCAUUAUUCGAGGGCCAAUCUCGGGCCUCUUGGCUAUCUCCUUCAAAGAGAUUUGUUUGCCAGCUGUGUUGAGAAAUAUACUUUCCAUAUGAUAAGCCCAGAGAAGAAGCCAAUUUCCCUACAGAACGCUUUCGGAGCAUCCCCAGGAGGGCCCGCAGAAUCCUUAAUGGCGUUUCGGAGAGGAUAACCCCUCACGCCUCCUUGGCAACGGAGGUUAGCGGAAAGCCCUGGGGAGGAUGGCUGUAGCAAGAUGAUGAAAUUAGGGGAAUGGGAUGGAUUCCUUUUAUUUCAUUUUAUUUUCUGAUUCCGUGUGCAAAGAGGGCAGCUUUCCAACCAUUUUAUGGAUCCAUCAUUGGCUGAGAAAGUCACUUGCUUUUCGCUUCACUAUGGUCUUGGCUCCAGGGGGGCAUUUCUUGUUUAAUACGUAACCCAGGUUCAGUGUGUCAAUCAGAUGCUAUCUCUUCUAUAUGAAGAACUGGUGUUUUGAUGUUUAUAAACUAGUUAAGACAGACAACUGAAUUCUUAAAUUUGAAGUACGGUAAAAUAUUGAGUAAAUAUUUAUAGAUCUGGGAGAUUGGAGAAACGAUAAUCAAAAAGAGGCAAUAUGCAAAGCAGCUGGGCUCAUGUCUUUUGUAGUUCUGACUGGCUGCAGCCCAGCCCGGCCACACGGGUGUUUAGUAAAUAAAACUAAUACCUCCUUUAUAUCCUGACCCAUAUCUGCCUAUUGUACUGAAAAUGUUUCCAUCGUUUGUGAACAGAUUGGUUUCAUUCAUUCAGAAUGUCACAUGUGAUUCAUCUGGGGGUAGCAGUGAGGUUCUACCCAAAUCUUGCACAAACAAGAACCAGUGCUUGCCUUGCCCACGUGCCUCCUGGCCUGUGUCUCACUGUCCCCUUGUGAUAGCCCACCUGUGGGGUGAAACACAGCAGGGACCAGGAAGAAGUGGAAGGUGAGCUGGACAGAAGUCAAAAGCAGGGGAUCAAGGUGGGUAGAAAUGAGUUUUGAGAGCAGCAGCUCAGUGAUGUCUUCUCAGGUAUCAGGGUUCUGGAAACCUCAGCAUGGGUUUGGCUUCCCCGUGGUAGCUGGUAGCAGCUGGCACCACCACUGUACUAAGAGAAAAACUCUUUCCAGACACCCAGAACUGUUUGCAACCAAAGAUUUGGAGAUCAGAUUUUAGGAUUUCAGCUUUUUUCAUUUGAUAGUAAAUGAUAUAGGAUAGGAUCUUUUAAACUUGUCUUUCAGCUAUCCCCUCCCCACAGAAAGACUGUUAAGCAGGGAAUUGUGAAAGCCUUUUCUUAUCGUAGGAGACCCUGUCUAGAAAUGGACUAGGAAGAUGUGGAA